AAACAUAUAUAUUUAAUUAGAUUUUUUCAUAUAUAUAUAUAUAUGUUUGAUUUAAUUUUUUCGAAAACAUAAAUAAUAAGUUAUUAUGCUGGGUUUUGAAUUAAUAAAAAAUAAACUAGUAAAUAUUUGUAAAACGAUUAAGCCCGCAUAUGCGGGCAAGACACCUAGUGAAAUCAUAAAAACAAAAAACAAAUUGAAAUAUAAAUGAUAUAAAUGCAUUGAAGAGGUUAUUUCUUAGUUUGCUCAAAUAACUCCAUAAGAAAGGACAAAAAGGUACAUAAGCAUUAUUAUGUAACUAUAGAUUACUCUCAACCCUUUUUUUUUUGAACACGAGCUUUCAUUAAAAACCAUAAAGAGUUAGGUAGGAACCAUGAUUACUCUCAACCCUAUCAUGUAAUUUGUGUUAUUGAACUAAAAUAAAGUGUUGGGUUUUUUGACAUAACAGGAAGCUGGAGAGCCUUGAAGUAAAGAAUAAACCUAUUACUUCCUUUCACAUGAACGUUUUUGUUUCAUAUCUGAGCUUAUUUCUAUUUUCUCCACUGCAGGCAUUAAAGAAGACUUUUAAGAAGCUUGAUCAUGAUGUAAACAUACAUGAGUUUUUAGGAGCAAGGUACUUGCUAUGACUUCAUAUACCAUACUUUUGUCGUUAAUAAGCCUCUGAUAUGGUGUCUUCUCUUUAUGUUGAAGGAAUCAAACUAUCAAGGUAUGUAUCAACCAUCAUGGUUUCUUGAAUUUUGUUAGAUACUUUUAAAGCUCUCGGAGUCAGAUUGCUAAAGUUUUUGUUACCUUUACCACCACGACAGGGUCGAAGUAACCAUGUAGCCAUUUUCCAAGCUCAGCUUAUGGAGUUUCAUAGGAGUCUAAGGCCUAAGGUGUGAAAAUAUUAUACUUUCUUUAGUUUUUCAACUAUCUUGAAAUCUAGUUUCAGUCAUAUUUGAGUCUUCUUCUUCUUAUGGUUGCUGUUUUCAGUUGUUGGACAAACAUCAAUAAAAUAGAAAACGCUGAGCACCUCAUUUUUUUGGAAGAAUCAUUGAGGAAAUCUAUUGAAAAAGUACAAUUUCACAAGGUGUAUAAAAUUUAGUCUCCUUUCAACUCAAUCAUAUGAGCAUCAGUGGGUUUCUUCACUUUGCAGGAACAUUAUGGAAAGAACCAACUUUUGCCAAUAGAAUGUAUAACCACACAGGUUAAAACCAUUUGUUCUCUCUCCCCAUCUCUCACUUUUUUGGGCUUCCAACCUAAACCAAUUGGCAGUAGGUGGAUUGGUUCAAGUCCUUUAUAUAUUAUUUAUGUCCCACUCAAAUCCUCGAUGUGAGACCUUUAUAUUCUCACACACUCUCUGUCUUCAUGAGGACAAUUUCUGAACAAAACCAAAGCUUUAAAACUGCAGUUUCAAAACAUGAUACAGUUGCCCUUGGUGAUGGGAGGUAAUAAUGCCAUGCAAGAAGCUCACUCCAUGACUUGGCUUCCUGAUAACAGUAACCAGCAAACAAUAUUACAUGGUGAUUUCAGCUUUCUUCCUAAUAGACUGCUUCUUUGAGUCUGUAAAACAAGAAGAUCAGAAAUGCAACAAACCUGGACAAAAAUUUGAGCAGUUUGAACAGCAAGGAGAUGGUUGUUUGGGUUUCGAAUAUAUUGGGGAAGAAUAUUUGUAUCCUACACAUUUGGUACUACUCUUGGAAUGGAAGAAGGUCAAGAGGAGAGAAAAACUGAAAUGGAAUUGAACAACUUGCAACAACAACAAGAUCCUUCAUCAAUGUUUGAUCCAACAGCUAGUAGUAGUAGUUGCUUUCAAAUCCCUCAUGAUCAACCCAUGUUUGCCACUGAUCAUCAUCGUCAAAAUUGGGUUUCAGAUUCAAUGUUUGGGUCAAACUUCUUACAACCAGGUUUUGCGUUUUUCACACCUUCCAUUGAAACUAUCUAGAUAUAUGAUCCACUAAAAUGAACAUGUCUAUGUAUCCUUGGUGAUUGCAGCAACCAAACUAACUCAAGAGAGGGCUCAAGUUUGUAAUCUAUUCUAUAGAUGAUGAUUGGACUUACAUCUUAAGAAGGACUAGUUUGAAUGUAUAAUAGAGUGUGUACCUGUAUAAUGUGUUAGUAUGUAUGAGAGCUUGUAUCAUGUACUCAGGGGAGUUUUAGGCAUUUUGCAUGUAAAAGAUGUUGUCUAGGAACCUUAUAUUUUGUAUAAAUGAUAAUGAUUAUAUAUUGUUCCUAUGUUGAUGUUGGCCAGGUGUUUGAGACAACAAAAGAUGGUAUGUUGAUACUACAUAAAAACAUACUCUGAAGUAACAAAACAACAAUAUCAGAUUUAAAUGAUAUUUAAACAAUGAUGUAUUACAAUAAGCAAUCGGAGUUCAACCCAACAAUCUUGACAUGCUAUAGUUCAUCAUCUUGACAAGGUAACUCGAGACGACACAAUGGACAAACAUGACUGGUCUCAAACCACUUUACGAUACACUCAUCGUCAAACUCAUGUCCACAUGAUAAAGUCACAACCAUUCCUCCAUUGCUAAACUCUUGCAAACAAAUCCUGCACUCUUCCAAGCUAACCAUCUUCUUGUUCUCGUUCUUCUUCUUGUAUACUUUCCUGGGUAGCGACUUGACCACGAGCUUGCUAGCUGGUCGAAACCGGAUAUUGCUAGUAUCAUCAAACGAGACUUGAGCAGCUUCUUGAAUCUCAGAGUCAUCAUCAUCAUCAUCGAGAUGAUCAGGAACAAGAUCCAACUGAACUUUCAAAGCACAGCCAGGAGAGUACUCGAUACUUUCAGGGCAUGUUACCUCAUCAACAUAAACAAUUAGCUCCAAUAUCGCAUUAUAGAUAACAUCUUCGGUGAUUCCGGCUUCCAACAAGAAGUAGUUCAAGUCUUCUUUGCUUUUACACUCUUCGUUCUCAUCAUCUAAGAAGUCUUUGGCAAGGGACAGAGUCGUGAAUGUCGAGUUAUCAUCUUGGCCAAAGAUCUUAGCCGUGACUCUGAGUGUGCCCGCAUCGUCUGAUUCAGGGUAGUUAUCGAUUUCGUGGGAUAGUUUGUGUUUCAUGACUACUUACGGAAGCAAUAUCAGUAGGCGAAAGAGAGUUAAAAGCUUUUUGUUGUUGCUGAUUUGCUCUAGCCUACAGGGUUACUUAUAUUUAUAACACAAGGACCAGACUGUUUCUCCAAUGCUUAGGUAGGAGGGCAAACAGUGGAAUCGCACGGGCCCACCUAAAAUCAAGCAAAUUUAGUACUAUAAAGGACCCAGAUUUUUUUUUUUUUUUUUAUGACAGCAAGGGUCUAACUUUUCUUUUUCCACUUACAAUCUCAUAUUUACACAAUAUUUAAAAGACAUAAUAGUCUGUUUUUUUUUAUAUUUACAAAAUACAAAUAAAUUAAUAAUUUUAGAUAAGUUUUAUAUACUUUAAUAAUAUUAUGAUGAUAAAAUUAAAAUUAAUUAAUUAUAGAGAACUAUAAAAAAAUUUCGCCCAAGAAUCCUUUAUAUUGUUAAGUCGCCCCUAUGUUUAUUAGAUCUUUUUAGUCGGUGACAGAACUGUAUUUUUCAGUAUAACCUAGCAAUUUCCUUUCUUUUUAAGACGAGUAAACAUUUCUCUUUUUUUUAACAAAUAAGAGAUUAACAAUUUCCGUUUUCACUUUCUUUAUCUUUGCGUUUUGCAAUAGCUAUGAAAUCAUAAAGACACACGUUGAAAUUAAAGACAUCUAUUUAUCUUCUAUCUUAUUAAAAACAAGUACAAAUUAAAAUUUACCGGUUUUAAAAUGUUUUAUUGCGGUUUUUAACUAGUUAUUAAUUGUAUUUACCAUACUAAUUUUGGCAGAUAUUUAUUAACUCUCUUUUAUGUAUUUAUUUCAGUUUUGUCAUUAACAUAUUAACUAUUCAUAGAUUUCAUCAUUAAUUAUUUUUAUCAUUGAAAAAAACAGAAAUUGUUUUACCUAGUUCGUUAUUCUAACUAAUUAAUAUUUCGACUACUCACUAAAAUUUAAAUAUUUAAAUCAAACGGUUUAUAAUUCGCUGUUUGAACGAAUUAAUUUAUAUUUAAACAAACUAUUCAUUUUAGAAGGCAAUCUAAUAUGUUUAUAGAAUAUUCCUAAAAUAUAGAUAACCAGUACACCACAUAAUCUCAUAUGUAGAUUCUGUAAUUAUUCAUAAUAAAAAUACUUACUUAUCCAUAAUUUGUAAUAAUUUUUAAGCUUUAAAUAUUUUAUCUUAUUAAAACAGAAAUACAAAACACAAUUUACCAAUUUUAAGUUGUUUUAUUACAGUUUUUACAUUUUUCAAUCAUCUUAACUACUUCACUAAUAGUCUUUACCAUAAUAAUUUGACAUAUAUUUAUGAAUUCUCUUUUUAUAUAUUUUAUUCUAGUUUUUGUCAUUAACAUAUUAAGUUAUUAACUACUCAUAGAUUUCAUCAUUAAUUCUUUUUGUUGUUUAAAACAAGCAUAAAAAUUACAUAAUUCGUUAUUCUAAAUAAUUAAUAAUUGAUUUACUGACUCUUUUUUAUUAUGUUAAUCAAAUGGUUAAUAAUUCGCUAUUCUAAAUAAUUUAUUUAUUUUUAGACAAAAUAUACAUUUUAGAAGGUAAUCUAAUGUGUUUUUAGAUUAUUCCUAAAAUAUAGAUAACCAUUUCACCACAUAAUCUCAAAUGUAUUUUCUGUAAUUAGUCAUAGUACAUAUAUUUACUUAUUCAUAUAUUUUGAAUCACUUUUUAAUUAUUUUUAAACUUUAUAUAUAUAUAUAUAUAUUAUUAAAAUAGAAGUACAAAAGUUACAUGUUUAAAAUAUUUUAUUACAGCUUUUACAUUUUCUUCACCCAUCCUAAUUACAUCAUUAUUUGUCUUUCAAAUAAUAAUUCCGCAUAUAUUUAUUAACUCCUUUUUAUGUAUUUUAUUACAUCUUUUGCCAUUAACACAUUAAUUACUCAUAGAUUUAGUCAUUACUCCCUCUGUUUUUAUUUAGUUGAUGUUUUAGAGGAUUGCACACAAAUUAAGCAAAUUGUUUAUCAUUGUUUUAAUAUACAAUUGCUCUCAAUCAUAACUAUUAAUGCAAGGGUAGAUAAAGUAAAAAGUCACUAUAUUCUGCAUAAAAGUUUGGAUACGUUAAAUAAAUUGACACAUAACAAAUCGUACAUUUUUAGAAUGAAAUCAAAUAUGUUUAUAGAAUAUUCCUAAAAUAUAGAUAAUCAAUUUACCACAUAAUCUCAAAAUUAUAUUCUAUAAUUAUUCAUAAUACAAAUACUUACUUAUUCAUAUAUUUUGUGUCUUGCUUUUAAUAAUUUUUAAGUUUUAAAUAUUCAUUAUUUAAUAAAGAAACAUAAUUAAUUAAAACAGUAUUAUAAUUUGUGAAAACCAUAUAUAACAAAACUUUUGCAGGGUUUUCCCUCGAAUUUAUUAAACUAAUGGAUUAAUCUACUUUAUUUUCAUAAAUGUGAAAUUAUAUUUAUUUAAACUGUAAAAUAUAAAUAGUUAAGUAAAAUAAUAAAUUAGUGUGUCAAAAUAUUAUUUUAUGUAUAUUUUCAUAUAAAUAAUAGUCCAAUUCGAAUGCAAUACAAUAAAUAUAUGAUAAAAAAUUAUGGGUGAUUCACUUGACGGUUCAAAAAGCAAAAUUAUUUAAUAUAUAUUAAAAAAUUAUUGUAUUUAAAAUAUCAUAUUAAACAAUUAUUUAAUACAGAUUAAUUUUUAAAAAUGUAUAUCACCAUUAUACAAAGCAAAUAUUUACUUCUAAAAAAUUCAAAGAUAUUCACACGAAUGAAACUCUAGUCAUGAUUAAGCGAGAACAUGUAACUUAAUUAGGGUAUUACAAACAUGAGUUGUUUACGAGAUCAGACACAUUUGAGUUUCUUUUUACACAUGGAAACAUCUAGCAUUUGGCACACCUUUCUUGAAGAGCUGUCCUUUUGCGGACCAUUAUAUCCUCACGCUCAUUUACUUGUUUGUAUUUUGUUAGGUUAAAGUAACUAAAUGGUUUUGGUCAGGUGAAGUGUGGAUAUUUCAGUUUGAAUAUGGGAAAGUGUAUAUUAAUCUGAGCCACACGUUUGAAAUUUUCUAAAGAGAUCUAGCUAAUCCAAUGGUGGUGAAUAUUUAUUGGAGAUUGUGUUUGAUAACGAAGUUGUGGACAGAUGAGAGCAAAUUAUGGACGGACAAGAUUUUAAUAUACGCAUUGGUUGUACACAUCUUGUAUGCAUUUUCAUUUUUAGAUUUCUCGUGAAUCAAUUCACAAUAGACAAAAAUGUUACGAGAAGAGAUAAAUAGACAAAAUAUAUUGGUGUUCAUAACAAUUGUAUCCACAUCCACUGUCAAAUCUAUUGUCUUCUUCCAUUAGAGAGAUCAUGACUUCUGAGUUAACUUAGGAAGAACGAUUCAAGAACUCUGUUGAUACAAAGUCUCUUAAAAAAAUUGCAUCUACAUCCACACAAAAAAAUGCAGUCAAACCCUAAGAAAACAAAAAAAAAACUACGUUGAGAAAUUCAAAAAA
Long non-coding RNA from Brassica rapa (field mustard), 6453 nucleotides. RefSeq lists it as uncharacterized. The record is from RefSeq and is a predicted model, not a curated record. Lineage: Eukaryota; Viridiplantae; Streptophyta; Magnoliopsida; Brassicales; Brassicaceae.